RNAcentral lists this long non-coding RNA (336 nucleotides) under Equus caballus (horse). Its description in RNAcentral is "lncRNA (ENSECAG00000056906.1)". The record is from RNAcentral. Lineage: Eukaryota; Metazoa; Chordata; Mammalia; Perissodactyla; Equidae.
GGAUGAUCUAUCAACUCUCCCUGCAACAUUUGGAGGAUUUUCACUUCCUUUUAAUCAGGAGCAGGCUGUUCUCAGAGGAUCACCUUGCCUCCCACUGCCCUACUUGCUCCCAAAGCAGACAGCGAGAAUUUGAUUUUACUAUCAGAGCUAGGACUGCGGGAAAAGGGCAGCAGGUCGGAAAAAGACUGGCCCUGAGCUAACAUCUGUGCCCAUCUUCCUCUACUUUGUAUGUGGGACGCCUACCACAGCAUGGCAUGCCAAGCGGUGCCAUGUCCACGCCCGGGAUUCGAACCGGCGAAUGCUGGGCUGCCAAGAAGCGGAACGUGCACACUUAAC